AGAAUCAACGCUGGCGGCGUGCCUAACACAUGCAAGUCGCACGAGAAAGGGGAGCAAUCCCUGAGUAAAGUGGCGCACGGGUGAGUAACACGUGAAUCAUCUACCUCCGAGUGGGGAAUAACCUAGAGAAAUCUGGGCUAAUACCGCAUAACACUUACGAGUCAAAGCAGCAAUGCGCUUGGAGAGGAGUUCGCGGCCGAUUAGUUAGUUGGCGGGGUAAUGGCCCACCAAGACGAUGAUCGGUAUCCGGCCUGAGAGGGCGCACGGACACACUGGAACUGAAACACGGUCCAGACUCCUACGGAGGCAGCAGUGGGGAAUUUUGCGCAAUGGGGGAAACCCUGACGCAGCAACGCCGCGUGGAGGAUGAAAUAUCUUGGUAUGUAAACUCCUUUCGAUGGGGAAGAUUAUGACGGUACCCAUAGAAGAAGCCCGGCUAACUUCGCGCCAGCAGCCGC
RNAcentral lists this ribosomal RNA (458 nucleotides) under uncultured bacterium. Its description in RNAcentral is "SSU rRNA". It matches the Rfam family "Bacterial small subunit ribosomal RNA", at positions 26 to 518 of the family's 1533-position model. The record is from RNAcentral.